Long non-coding RNA from Saccostrea echinata, 172 nucleotides. RefSeq lists it as uncharacterized. NCBI's taxonomy places the organism in Eukaryota, Metazoa, Mollusca, Bivalvia, Ostreida, Ostreidae. The record is from RefSeq and is a predicted model, not a curated record. The transcript is spliced from 3 exons.
GCAGGGGAAACGUUCAGUCUGCCUGGGUUAUAUAUAGGUAGAUUCAUUGAUUUCGGAUCAGAAAAUUAUCAAUGUUCAUGGAUUCCCAGAACACAGCAGGGAGAAGUUUAUGUUAUGAACAUUUCUUAGCAACAAACCCUGUAAGAAGAAGGACGUCUGUUCUACAGCUUGU